RNAcentral lists this unclassified non-coding RNA (798 nucleotides) under Hevea brasiliensis (rubber tree). The record is from RNAcentral. Lineage: Eukaryota; Viridiplantae; Streptophyta; Magnoliopsida; Malpighiales; Euphorbiaceae.
GGCUCAUUUGGCAUUGAUCCCUCAAAAUUUAAUCAAUUCAUUUCGAGCUUUCCAAAUAGAUGAAGCUGCUAUAGAAAAUAGUUCUAAAAAAUUCAAACCGCGCAAACGGAGCAAUCAGAAUAAAAUGGAUUGGAAACCCAUCAACUACAGAUGGAAGAAUCUAGUGGUGGAGCUUUCUGAGGGCUAGCUAGAAGCUUAUGAUGGCCCAUAAGCUUCUUGAGGAAAUUACAAAUUGCAAAAUUUCAACAAAAUAAUUUCAAGUUACCAUCAAUUUUAACAGAAUUCCCACAAGUUAGAACAAUGAAGGGCAUAAGAAAGCAGUGAGAAUUUUCAAAAUCAUGGAUUCAAAAACUACAAUUGAAUUAGAGAAUGGAGGGAUUCAAAACGCAGUCCCCAUGCAAAAUUUGAAAGCUUACUUCAUUUUGGAUUUCGAACUAAGGUGGAAUUGGCUCGACCAUAGAUUACAAUUGUUAAUGUAGUCCUUUUGCGUCCUCCACUAAGAACCUUACACAGUUCCAAGCAAAUCACGCCAAUUGCUAGAGCAAUAGAGAUUGCAAUUGUCAGGAUGCCAUUAUAAUUCUUCGUACAUUCCACUCCAUCAACAUCCCUAGGGUUUCAUCAAUGUACUAGUUAGAGUGAAAUGUUUUGGGGGAAGGGGUGGAGUGGGUUUGAGACAGGAAGGGAAUAGGCUGCUAUUUGGAUGGUGGAUUGAGAGGAGAAAGAAAUUAUAUGAAGAAAUCAAUAUAAUUAGUCGUCUGAUAGGCGUAGAAGAGGCGAGGAGAAAGGGGCAGAAGAUGA